AUGGGGGACGGCCGCCGCCGCCGCCGCCGCCGCAAGAAUUCCCGGCGGGUACCCGCGCGGGAGGGAGAUAUUGACGACGUUCCGGGCGAGCUUCUCGAGGUGGUGUUCCUGCGCCUCUCCUCGCCUGCCCACCUCAUCCGUGCCGCGUGCACCUGCAGGCGAUGGCGCAACGUAAUCGCGGGCGACGGCGGCGGCUUCCUCCGCCGGUUCGGCUCUCUCCACGGCGCGUCGGCCGACCACGUUGUCGGCCACUACCGCGUCAACGAGCGCCACGGCCACCCGCGUCCGCCUGGCCUUAACCCCGUAUUCGUCCCGUCCUCCUCCUCUUCCUCGCCGUGGGCGGACGCCGUCGCCGCUCGGAACCUCGCACUCGACUUCCUCCCGCGGGGCGAGUUUGGCGAUUGCGGCUGGGAGCUCGCCGACAUCCGGGGCGGCCUUCUGCUCCUCUUCCACUCGGAGCUGGCGCCAGGCCUCCUCAUCUGCGAUCCCCUGAGGCGAUGCUACAGGGAAAUCCCUCGCUCGGCGUGGUUCCACGGCUGCCACAUGCUGGGCGCUUUCCUCCUCGACGGCGAGGACAAGGACGCGGCCGCGGGCAUCAGCAUGUCAAACUUCAGGGUGACGUGCGCGCUCUUUCGCUUUGGGGACCGCAACGCCAGGGCCUGCGCCUUCUCGUCUGCCGCCGGCGGCUGGACCUCCGGGGCCGCACGUAGCAGCACAUCAGUCUGCCGCGACAGGGAGUUGGCCCCCAUCUAUUUCGCAGGAAGCAGCAAGGGGAAGAGGUUCGCCUCUUGGACGGUCGGAGACAACGUUGUUCUUGCUCUGGACAAGGACACCGCCGAGCUCUUAUCUGGUGUGGUGCCGGACGACGCACAGUACGCCGUGCUCCGGGACAAGCAGCACGCCGCGGAGUACGCGUACCAGCUGCCAUGGCCACCCACGAUCGAAGCUUGCGUAACCUAG
This 960-nucleotide ribosomal RNA is filed under the name Triticum aestivum (bread wheat). Its description in RNAcentral is "partial small subunit ribosomal RNA". Lineage: Eukaryota; Viridiplantae; Streptophyta; Magnoliopsida; Poales; Poaceae. The record is from RNAcentral.